AUUGAACGCUGGCGGCAUGCCUUACACAUGCAAGUCGAACGGUAACAGGUUAAGCUGACGAGUGGCGAACGGGUGAGUAAUGUAUCGGUACGUGCCCAGUCGUGGGGGAUAACUGCUCGAAAGAGCAGCUAAUACCGCAUACGACCUGAGGGUGAAAGCGGGGGAUCGCAAGACCUCGCGCGAUUGGUGCGGCGGAUAUCAGACUAGGUAGUUGGUGGGGGAACGGCUAACCAGGCGGACGACCUAUAGCUGGCCUGAGAGGAGGACCGGCCACACUGGGAGUGAAACACGGCCCAGACUCCUACGGGAGGCAGCAGUGGGGAAUUUUGGACAAUGGGCGCGAGCAUGAUCCAGCCAUGCCGCGUGCGGGAAGAAGGCCUUCGGGUUUUGAACCGCUUUUGUCAGGGAAGAAAAGGUUCUGGCUAAUACCUGGGACUCAUGACGGUACCUGAAGAAUAAGCACCGGCUAACUACGUG
This 477-nucleotide ribosomal RNA is filed under the name uncultured bacterium. RNAcentral describes it as "partial 16S ribosomal RNA". It matches the Rfam family "Bacterial small subunit ribosomal RNA", at positions 29 to 507 of the family's 1533-position model. The record is from RNAcentral.